RNAcentral lists this ribosomal RNA (253 nucleotides) under uncultured bacterium. RNAcentral describes it as "partial 16S ribosomal RNA". It matches the Rfam family "Bacterial small subunit ribosomal RNA", at positions 524 to 776 of the family's 1533-position model. The record is from RNAcentral.
UACAGAGGUCCCGAGCGUUGUUCGGAUUCACUGGGCGUAAAGGGUGCGUAGGUGGUGAGGUAAGUCGGAUGUGAAAUCUCCAGGCUCAACCUGGAAACUGCAUUGGAAACUACCUUGCUGGAGGAUUUGAGGGGGGAUUGGAAUACUUGGUGUAGCAGUGAAAUGCGUAGAUAUCUGGAGGAACACCGGUGGCGAAGGCGGCAUCCUGGACCGGUAUUGACGCUGAGGCGCGAAAGCCAGGGGAGCAAACGGG